CGAUGGUAAAUUUUCACGCUUGGCCAGAGGGGAAGUCACACAGACAGUCAUUUCUAUCUUGUCCAAUCCAUCGAGGAGAUUUGUUGUAACGCGCAGUAUUCGUGUUCCAAUGGCCUUUGACGGAUGAUGGUAGGCGGUGCUAUCGCUGCUUUGGAGAUAAGAACUGGUCAGUCAAUCGGCCGAGUCCGAACUGUAUCCAAACUCACAUAUGGGUAAGCCAGAUUAGUGUACAGAUAUUCUUAAACAGUUCAUCAGAUAUAAUUUCAUGCCUAGAGGUAGAAGGCUGGCUCACUAUUAUACAGGAUAACCAUGGAUGAAAGGGCGAUCCAUAUGGGAACUGCCUGCAUUAGCACCAUACCUCUGUCACUGCACGGAGAAAUUCGCUCACUGAUUACAGCAGCAUUUAGUUGAGCCUUUCUACUUUCGUCCUGAGGCAAGCUGGGAGUUAUUUCCACUUGACCCUUCAGGCUGUCCAGCUACUGGCAUAUUAGCAGGACGCCAAGUGUAAUAAUAGAGAGGCAGACUUGCCAGUUCCUCGUGUUUCAGAUCUGCUGACCACCCAGGGGGAUUGACAUAACCAACUCCCUCGCCAACUUCUCCUCUUGAAUUGGGAGCGGAACUGGGCCUGUG
RNAcentral lists this small RNA (630 nucleotides) under Cryptococcus neoformans H99. Its description in RNAcentral is "Cryptococcus neoformans var. grubii H99 hypothetical RNA". Lineage: Eukaryota; Fungi; Basidiomycota; Tremellomycetes; Tremellales; Cryptococcaceae. The record is from RNAcentral.